CCUACUGGCUUGUGCCCGGAGUUUUUACCCAGUUAGGUUUUCUUCGUCAACAUUUUGUUACGUUUUUAUUGCUUUCUGUUGUUUUGAUUUCAACCGGCAAUUCAACUUAGGUAGCUAAAUUAUGUGAAUGAAUCUGGACAAAGCGUAAUUUAUGUGACAUGUUGCAUAAGUCAAUUAAAUUGUUAAAUUCCGCAUAAACACCUAUUCACCCCCUCUAGGUAUUGUUUGGGUCGAACUAUAGACUUUUCAAAGAGGAGCUAUGCACACUGUCUCUUUUUUAUUUGUUUAUGAAAAAUUCUUGCUAUGCUUUUAGAUGAAGUUGUGGAACUAAAUAAUGGUUGACACAAUUGAACUAUGCUACAAUGUCAAAAUAAUUGACACAGAGGAAUGCUAUUUAGCUCCAAUGGGUCUAGUCUAGUGGCACUAACGUGUCAUUAAUUGAUGGUAGAAUUAAAUUUUACAUUUCAUUUAAUCAAUCAUAGAUUGCCACCUAAAUUGAGUUUGCAAUCUUAGUGGGGCUACGUAGCAUUAUUUAUUGACAUAAUAUCACAUGACACUUUUUGAUCGAAUUGUUUGAAACAUAUUCAUCAUUUCCAUCAAAUCACCUCCUGGCACCUAGAGAGUUUGGCACUUCUUCUGGGAAAGUGGUUUAACCCUUACAUUAAUUUUAUUAUUUGAUUAAUAUUGUGCUAUCUAAAGGUGAUCAAUUAGAUGGAUUGCAGCUAAUAUAUUCCCUCGUACAAAUUGAUGCGAUUUUGGGGUUGAAUGCUUAUUUUGUAACUUGGAGUAUAUUUUUAUGCGCAUUAGGUUGAAUGCUUUGGUACAAAUGUGAAUGACACUUUUGUGCAAAUGCAAAAGAGAAAUAUAUAUAUAUAUAUAUAUAUAUAUAUAUAUGGACACACACACACACACAGAGAACUAGUUAACUUGAUGGUUAUCAUCUCUGAUCAUAAAACUUCAUGUGUUGAAUUGUAUAUUUUGUUACGGAGUGCACUUUUGGAUUUUGUAUUUUUAGGACAUUGCAAAUACAGAGCUUGCCCCCAACACAUCCCAUUCGGCUUGGACUUGCUCUCAACUUCUCAGUUUUCUACUAUGAGAUACUGAAUUCUCCUGAUUGGGCUUACUAGAAAAUUAUACUUGUCGUCUCCAAUCCCUUAGUUGUUUUUUACGUCCCAAAAAAAGUAUAGAGCACCUAGUUCUGAAUCUUUUAUGGUUAACGUCAACAAGAUUUGAAAUGGCUGGAGCUUGUAAUUCAGAUGGGCCUUUUUACUUGAUAGGAAUGUUAUAAGUAUGCAUUAUGACUAAUUUUGUUCAUAAUAUUCUGGCAAGCAAGGCUUUUGAUGAGGCAAUUGCGGAGUUGGACACCCUUGGAGAAGAGUCUUACAAGGAUAGCAUUCUGAUCAUGCAGCUUCUCGUGACAACCUAACUUUGUGGACUUCAGACAUGCAGGUAAAUUUUUCUACCCCAACCACUGCUAUUAUUUAAAGGAAUUACUGGUAAAUAAUUAUUACUGUUCUGGUGUGUAGGAUAAUGGUUCCCAGGAGGUCAAGGAACCACCAAAACAAGAUUAGUAAAAUUUUAUGAUCCCGAUUUGAGUGUUUUGUUAAUAUUUGCAGUAUUCUGUUUUCCCCGAAUUGAAAGCGCUCCUUGUAGCCAGUAUUCAUCUCUAUUAUUUACUUCUUUUGGUGAUACGAACUUUUAGAAUUUCCUAUAUCUAUCUUUAUUGUUUUCUAAAAUAACUACUGUUAAUCUUUGUGCCAAUCGUUGUUUGUUUACAAUUUACGGUUCUUAUCUUUGGGAAAAUAAUUGAUCAAUAUUUUCUUCGAUGUGGUGUGUUUGUUCACCUUCUACACACUUCAUGUAAAAUUCUGCACUAAUUUACUCUAUUCUGAAAUUCUCACUAAUCUUUAUUUGUUAUCACAUUUUUUGAUUCACUUUCUUGAGCUCAUCAAGUGAUAAGAAUUAGCAUAGUUUAGAUUAUGUUUUAUGACAUCACAUUCUCUAUACACUAGAGAUAAUUACGUGCUCACGUUCACAUGCUUGUAGACCCAUGGCUCCAAACCUUGUGAUGAGGACGUCACCUAUAUUUAUUUUUAUUUUUAUUUAGACUCUUAUUUAUUCUGUUUAUUUUAGUUGAACUAUUAUUUAGUGGGCUUGGCUCUUCUCUUUAGGGUUUUGCUUAGUUAUUUAAACUUAU
Molecule: long non-coding RNA, 2197 nt
Filed under: Olea europaea subsp. europaea
Lineage: Eukaryota; Viridiplantae; Streptophyta; Magnoliopsida; Lamiales; Oleaceae
Source: RNAcentral